Molecule: ribosomal RNA, 405 nt
Filed under: uncultured bacterium
Lineage: Bacteria
Description: partial 16S ribosomal RNA
Rfam family: Bacterial small subunit ribosomal RNA
Source: RNAcentral
AUUGAACGCUAGCGGCAUGCUUAACACAUGCAAGUCGAACGAGUGGCGGACGGGAGAGUAAUAUAUCGGACCGUGCCAAGUAGCGGGGGAAAACUACUAGACAGAGUGGCUAAUACCGAAUCCUAUGGGAUGGGCCGAUAUCGGAUGAGCUAGUUGGUGGGGUAAAGGCUCACCAAGGCGACGAUCCCUAGAUGGUUUGAGAGGACGACCAGCCACACUGGGACUGAGACACGGCCCAGACUCCUACGGGAGGCAGCAGUGGGGAAUUUUGGACAAUGGGGGAAAGCCUGAUCCAGCCAUCCCGCGUGUAUGAGAAGGCCUUCGGGUUGUAAAGUACUUUUAGAGAGGAGGCGGUAUCUGCAGAAUAAGCACCGGCUAACUACGUGCCAGCAGCCGCGGUAAUUC